AUGACGCGGCAGUAGGUUUAGGAGGACACUUGUUUGUGCCAUCCAAGUAUCCCAUCAGAUCAUAUCCAAUGAGAAUGGUUAGGAAGGUUGCACGCCAGGAGGGAUAAUUUGAAGAUGUGAGUUUGUAUGGCAGUUGGCUGGAAGUGUUUAUGGCAAUCAAUGAAAGCUCAGAGGAGUCAGGUUUGUUGAGCCACUAGAGGAGGAGUGGAAUUCACACUGAGGGACGACAUGGAGGUUGGGAACACUGUCUGUUCUCAUGAGAGAAGAAUGCUUUGAUGUCAUAAAAGGUUUACACAUAUUUGGCAAAAGUGUUUACAUAUUAUUCCAGUAAGUUGUCUUUAUAUAGUACACAGGUUAGCUAAGGAAGGAAUAUACAAUCAGUUGACAGAAUGAAUUUCUAUACAUAUAUUUGAUUGACAGAGUAAUGCUUGCUGAAUAUUCCUCUAAUCAUGCGAUUGCUUAAUAUUCCUCUAAUCAUGUGAUUUCCUUAUAAUUACUACUACUGCUGCUGCUACUGCUAUAGGAACUACUAUUAUUAUUUUACAGUUUCUUGUCAUACAUCGGUGGUAUCAAAGCUACGACAAAUGACUAGAGUAAGGCUAUUAAGGCAAUGUUUAAAGCAAUUGAGACUAACUUACAAGAAAUAGGCAAUCAACUCAAUGACGUACUUGCUAACUUAAAUCUUGGAGGCGAUAUUUUGAAGGUGGUAUAACAACUACCAAAUCGAACCGGUUCAAUUGCUGCCUUUGUAAAUUUGACCCCAAUUUUUAUCAUGGUUAUCAUAAUGACUAUGAUGGUUGAAUAGUCAAGAUAGAAAUUCCUAUUUUCAAUGGGAGUCUAGAUUUGGAGUCCAUCCUUAAU
RNAcentral lists this long non-coding RNA (861 nucleotides) under Olea europaea subsp. europaea. Lineage: Eukaryota; Viridiplantae; Streptophyta; Magnoliopsida; Lamiales; Oleaceae. The record is from RNAcentral.